This 164-nucleotide small nuclear RNA is filed under the name Salvator merianae (Argentine black and white tegu). RNAcentral describes it as "U1 spliceosomal RNA (ENSSMRG00000007507.1)". It matches the Rfam family "U1 spliceosomal RNA". From Rfam's summary of the family: U1 is a small nuclear RNA (snRNA) component of the spliceosome (involved in pre-mRNA splicing). Its 5' end forms complementary base pairs with the 5' splice junction, thus defining the 5' donor site of an intron. There are significant differences in sequence and secondary structure between metazoan and yeast U1 snRNAs, the latter being much longer (568 nucleotides as compared to 164 nucleotides in human). The record is from RNAcentral. Lineage: Eukaryota; Metazoa; Chordata; Lepidosauria; Squamata; Teiidae.
AUACUUACCUGGCAGGGGAGACACCAUGAUCAUGAAGGUGGUUUUCCCAGGGUGAGGCUCAUCCAUUGCACUCGGGGUGUGCUGACCCCUGCAAUUUCCCCAAAUGCGGGAAACUCAACUGCAUAAUUUGUGGUAGUNNGGGACUGCGUUCGCGCUUUCCCCUC